CCGCUUGCAAGGAAACAGAUGGACCCACGAAGUCCUGUUGGUAAUGAGAUUCACAUUUACUGAAUUGCUAUAGUAAUUGAUAAUCCUUCCUGGAGGACUCUUUUACUGCUGGCAGUUUUGUGGAUGCAUUUCUCAUUAUCACGUUGGAGCUCUGACUUCUUGAUCUAACCUUCUUGCUUAUGACAGCUUAAGUGAAUGGUUGAUUCGAAAGAAUCUCUUCAUUCAUUUGAGUUAGUGAGAAGGUUUUAAAGAGGUUGAAUUACUUGCAUUUGUGAGUAUCAGAUUGUCGAUAUCUAUUUGGAGUAGAAUGUAUGCAAUUUGUGAAUUUCGAUUCUUGUAAUUGAAACCACUUAAUGUACUACGUUCAUAUGCUUUGAGUAGAUAUCAACGAUGAUCCAGAGUAAGUAGGUCGGUCAUCCAUCUGACCCGUCUUGAAACACGGACCAAGGAGCCCAACAUUUACGCGAGUCGCUCGGUCUUGAACAGGCCUGAGAGGCGAAAUUAACAUAAUGGUAUGAUCCUUCGAAAUCGUUCGCGAUCAGAAGGCGCAAUACCGACCUGCUUUAUUGCUUGCAAUAAAGUGGCGUUUGAGCGUAAAUGUUGGUACCCGAAAGAUGGUGAACUAUACUUGGGCAGGACGAAGCCAGAGGAAACUCUGGUGGAGGUCUGUAGCGGUUCUGACGUGCAAAUCGAUCGUCAGACCUGAGUAUAGGGGCGAAAGACUAAUCGAACCAUCUAGUAGCUGGUUCACUCCGAAGUUUCCCUCAGGAUAGCUGGUACUAAACUCUGUAGCAUCUGGUAAAGCGAAUGAUUAGAGGUAUUGGGAUCGAAACGAUCUCAACCUAUUCUCAUACUUUAAAUAGGUGCGGAGCUUGACUUGAUUUUCGUAUUGUUAAGUCUUGCUUUGUAAGAGAAGUACCAAGUGGGCCAUAUUUGGUAAGCAGAUCAGGCGCUGUGGGAUGAACCAAACGUGAAGUUAAGGAACCAAAUGCCGACGCUCAUGAGACCCCAUGAAAGGUGUUGGUUGCUAUAGACAGC
This 1038-nucleotide ribosomal RNA is filed under the name Neumania verrucosa. RNAcentral describes it as "partial large subunit ribosomal RNA". It matches the Rfam family "Eukaryotic large subunit ribosomal RNA", at positions 405 to 1241 of the family's 3401-position model. Lineage: Eukaryota; Metazoa; Arthropoda; Arachnida; Trombidiformes; Unionicolidae. The record is from RNAcentral.